RNAcentral lists this ribosomal RNA (380 nucleotides) under uncultured eukaryote. RNAcentral's name for it is "partial 18S ribosomal RNA". It matches the Rfam family "Eukaryotic small subunit ribosomal RNA", at positions 592 to 976 of the family's 1831-position model. The record is from RNAcentral.
CAAUAGCGUAUAUUAAAGUUGUUGCGGUUAAAAAGCUCGUAGUUGGAUUUCUGCUGAGGACGAUCGGUCCGCCCACUGGGUGAGUAUCUGGCUCGGCCUUGGCAUCUUCUUGGAGAACGUUGCUGCACUUGACUGUGUGGUGCGGUAUCCAGGACUUUUACUUUGAGGAAAUUAGAGUGUUUCAAGCAGGCGCACGCCUUGAAUACAUUAGCAUGGAAUAAUAAGAUAGGACCUUGGUUCUAUUUUGUUGGUUUCUAGAGCUGAGGUAAUGAUUAAUAGGGAUAGUUGGGGGCAUUCGUAUUUAACUGUCAGAGGUGAAAUUCUUGGAUUUGUUAAAGACGGACUAUUGCGAAAGCAUUUGCCAAGGAUGUUUUCAUUGA